GGUUAAGCGAUUAAGCGUACACGGUGGAUGCCCUGGCAGUCAGAGGCGAUGAAGGACGUGCUAAUCUGCGAAAAGCGUCGGUAAGGUGAUAUGAACCGUUAUAACCG
RNAcentral lists this ribosomal RNA (107 nucleotides) under Klebsiella pneumoniae. RNAcentral describes it as "partial 23S ribosomal RNA". It matches the Rfam family "Bacterial large subunit ribosomal RNA", at positions 1 to 106 of the family's 2925-position model. Lineage: Bacteria; Pseudomonadati; Pseudomonadota; Gammaproteobacteria; Enterobacterales; Enterobacteriaceae. The record is from RNAcentral.